Molecule: RNA transcript, 4050 nt
Organism: Amborella trichopoda
Lineage: Eukaryota; Viridiplantae; Streptophyta; Magnoliopsida; Amborellales; Amborellaceae
Gene name: BRCT domain-containing DNA repair protein
Source: RefSeq, a predicted model, not a curated record
UAAAUCGUUGUUUUAACCCCCUUUCUUUCUCUCUCUACCAAAACUUUCCCUCCAAAACUUCUCCCAAACGGAACGCCACGAACCCCAAACCCUAAAUUUUCAGAAGCAACUGUUGUGAACACCAAAAUCAAAACAAAGAAAGUCGUUUAUUUUCCAUGGAUGUCCAUUUGUAGAAGCACUCAUCUACCAUUUAAUUUGACUGGAAAUGGGAGGAGAAAGAGAGAAGGGGAGAUUGAGCAUUGAUUCAGAAACACAGACCAUCUCAAUUGACUCACCCUUGGAUGGGGGGGUUUUCAUUGAGACUCAUGACAGCGACACAUGCCCUGCUGAGAAUACUUUGGUGCUUGAUGAUACAGUUUCCCUUGAAAAUGAGAUUGCAUGUGAAGAUCCUGACCACAUAGAAGAUACCCAACUCGUUGAGGAUCCGAAUUGUACAAACGUGACAACCCUGUUGGUGGGGGAGAGUGAAGAAGGGAUAUGUGUAGGCAGUGAUCACGAAGAAACACAAAGAACUUUAGUAUUGAUUGAUAAUGAAGGAGUACUUGGUGAGGAGGGAUCCAUUCCCCUUAAGAAUGAUGGUUAUAAAAGGAAGUGCAAGGAAGGAGGAAACCUCUCGGUUGUCAAUGCAACCCUUGAAAAUGAUUGGGAUCGAAGAAAUAAUGUGGUAGAUUCAGAUGCUUCAACUGAUGAUGAAGUUGCAUCAGGGAACUCUAUUUCUUAUGGAUCCCCUUGUCGCCAACCUGCUUCUAUGCCGAAAUCUGGAUCUUCACAAAGAAGCUUUGCUUCCGUUCGUGCUGCAUCUUUAAGGGCAUCUGGACUUUCAGCUGCUCAAAGUAUGGGCUUAAAGAGACCGGCAUAUGGAACUGGAAGCCUGAAUCAGGAAGGCUUGAAUGCCUUAGGGGAUCAAACUAGAGGCAAGGCUGGAAAUCCUAGGGUGAGAAAGCUUUUUGUUGAGGAUGAACUUGCAGAAAAUGGAAACUCUAUUAGAAAAUUUAACAGCCUUGGGGAUGAAGAAACAAAUUCUUCUCUUUUGCCUGGUCAUUGUACUGCAGGGUUAAGCUACUUGAACUCACAGGAGCCUGGUGAAUUGUCUCAGGCUGAGGCACUUGGGGUUGUGGAUAAGUUAGUAUCAGUCAAUGGAGUGGGGUUGUCACAACCAGUUGAGCCAGGAAAAACUGGAGACAUGAAAGCAGCUUUAAAUUCAAGUGUAAAAGGGGCACAAACUCUAGCCAAAUUGGCUGAUUUGAGAAAUCCAACUGAGAAAAUUGCGAUCUUUGACUGGGAUGAUAAUCGAGAAGAUGGGAGAGGAGGUAUUUUCUCUAGCAAAAGAAAGGAGGCCUUCUUUCAGAAUGGGAAAACUGUGGACAAGGCUUUGACAGAACCACAUAAGAAUAAACGCGCUCUCUCUAAAGGACCCAAAGGCUUGGGUGAAAGGCUUAGAGAGAAGGAAGAGGAAAGGUUCUCUUAUGUACAUCAGGGAGUCCUUAAUUUUGCUCAUUCUGAUUCGAGGGUUGUGCUAUCUGGUUCUUCAAGUGGCCAUUAUAUGCGUUGUGCAAAAAUCAGCAGGAAUUUGUUCAAAGACUUAGAAGAGCAUCCAAGUCAAGUACCUUUAGGGCAAGAACCAGCAUCACCUGUGAGGUUUUCACAAGGUACUUAUGAUGUUGGUUUUGAUACCCAAAUGGCUGCUGAAGCUAUUGAAGCAUUGGGUUGUGUACCUCCUGUGACCCCUACAAAUCAAAAGGCUCUCACAAAUCCUACCAAAGGUUUGAGAAAGAGUAAUUCACGCUCUAAAUCGAAGGCUGGAUCAAAAGCUAAAGGCAAGAUAGGGAGUGAUUCACGACGUGUCUCUGUAAGGAAGAGAGGCUGUUCUUCUAUUGAUUCAGAUUAUAAUUUGAGAAAAUCUAAGCAAAUGAAGACACUUGAUGACAAAUCCAGGGAAGCUGAUCACAUUGGAUUUAGCAGGUGCAGAAAGAAGCCAAUAGCUAAGGCUGUGGAGCCAAAGUUAACUGGAGAAAGAGAAGCAAAUCAGCAAAAGUUCGAGCAAGAAGAGAGGACUGCUAAAUUAAGUGAACUUGGAAUCAGGGAACGAAGAAAGCCUCAGCUAGAGAAGAAAGAAAAGCGGAGUUUUGAUACGCUAUCAAAUGAGAAACCAGCAGGCACCAAUUUAUUGAAGGAAACUUUGAGUUCUUACCCCAAAACUAGAGCAGGGAAGAGGAAUUCAUCAGAAAGAAACCUAAAUUCUUUACUUAGUGUAGCAGGUUGUGUGAAGAACUUAGAAGCAGUUAACCAAUCAUCUUCAGCUCGAAGAAAGAGGUCGACAAAUGCUGCUAAAACAACUCAUUCCCAAACAUGUGUUCCCAAUAAGGACUCCAUUGAGGAAAUAUUUUUAAAUCCUGGAACAAGGAAAACGAGAUCCGCUUCUAAAAGCUCAGCCCCAUUGAUAACAGUCUCCAAAGAUGUGCCCACAAAAGCCAGAGAAGCAACAACACAUUUGUCUCCGGCUGAAAGAGAUAGCAUGGAUGGUAUAUCAUGCUUACCUUCUGAAAUUGAUGGCAUAGAUGGUGUAUCAGAUGUACCCAUUAAGUCCAGCGUUCGAAUAAGGUCAUCUAGGAACCCUAGUUCACGCUUAUUAUCCCCAAACCCUACAAGCAUGACAAGGCAACAGACACCUGAGCAUAGUUUUUAUAAAAAUGCGGCUAACCAUUCAGCUGCACUGGCAAACAAAGACCAACUUCACAAUAUUCUUUCAGCAACCACUGAAAAGAAAACAGAACUAGCUGGGUCAGUUUGUAGUACACCUUUGAAGGGCACAGAUGCAGUAUCACCUAUUUGUAUGGGGGAUGGUGCUCAUAGAUCAUUCACGAGAGACCCAGGGAAAUCAACUUUAAGAAGAGAACUCAUCAGACUGGAUGCUGCUGAACCAGAAGUAUCUCCUACAUUGAAGAGUGCUGGGAGAAGGAAGAGAUACAUGUCUAGUGUUCGUGUCUUGUUUAGCCAUCAUCUGGAUGAUGAUAUAGUUAAGCAGCAGAAGAAGAUAUUGGCUCGUCUUGGAGCAUGCAGUACUACUUCCUCUCCUUCGGAUGCUACUCAUUUUGUGACUGAUAAGUUUGUUCGCACCAGGAACAUGUUAGAAACAAUGGCUCUUGGCAAACCAGUAGUGACCCACUUGUGGCUGGAGAACUGUGGCCAAGCAAGCUGUUUCCUUGAUGAAAAGAAGUAUAUAUUGAGGGAUACCAAGAAAGAAAAGGAGAUUGGCUUUAGCAUGCCUGCUUCAUUGAACCGUGCAAGCCAGAGUCCUCUGCUACAGGGUAAGAGAGUAAUGGUUACUCCAAGUGUGAAGCCCAAUCGAGACCUGGUUGCGUAUCUGAUUAAGGCACUUAAUGGUCAGGUAGUCGAGAGACUUGGGAAAUCUGCAAUUAAAGAUGAUAAAAUUUUGAAGGACAUUCUGGUGAUUUCAUGUGAAGAAGAUUACAUAUUCUCUGCACCCCUCCUUGAGAAAGGUGCAAGGGCUUACACCUCUGAGCUCAUCCUGAAUGGAAUAGUUAUCCAAAAGUUGGAGUAUGAACGGCAUCAUCUCUUUGAGGACCAUGUUAAGAGACUGCGUUCCUCCAAUUUGGUUCAAAGCCGAAAAUGAGUGUUGUGGGGUACACUAAAAUGUUACAUCUCUCGAAUAAUGCUUUGGGGAAUGUGCUGAUAGGUGAAGUAAUGUAUGUGCGUUGUGUUUAGUUGUGGCUUCGAUUAAUUACAACCAGGAAUUGUUCUGACACAAUUGCGUGAUCUCGUGAUUAUUUCGACAAUUGUGCAUUUUUACGCCGUUCUUUGCCUCUCUUAGCUCUUGAGAUCAGCCACAACUGGUAGGGAUCUCCGAGGCCAAGUUUCUCCUGCACAAAUACGUAUUUUUGUAAGUUCAGAUGGCUGAUGGUUUGGCCAACCAAGGGGGUUUUGGGGAUGAGCUGCUAAUUUCAUGAUUCCGAUCUGUGCUUUCACGUUUUAUAAUCUUCUUCGUGUUGAUUUUUUUAUGCAAGACAAUGGACCAGACAGUACUCCAUC